AAAUUGAAGAGUUUGAUCAUGGCUCAGAUUGAACGCUGGCGGCAGGCCUAACACAUGCAAGUCGAACGGUAGCAGGAAGAAGCUUGCUUCUU
RNAcentral lists this ribosomal RNA (92 nucleotides) under Escherichia coli. RNAcentral describes it as "partial 16S ribosomal RNA". It matches the Rfam family "Bacterial small subunit ribosomal RNA", at positions 1 to 88 of the family's 1533-position model. RNAcentral also lists the same sequence under 1 other name. The record is from RNAcentral. Lineage: Bacteria; Pseudomonadati; Pseudomonadota; Gammaproteobacteria; Enterobacterales; Enterobacteriaceae.